This 253-nucleotide ribosomal RNA is filed under the name uncultured bacterium. RNAcentral describes it as "partial 16S ribosomal RNA". It matches the Rfam family "Archaeal small subunit ribosomal RNA", at positions 474 to 727 of the family's 1478-position model. The record is from RNAcentral.
UACCAGCACCCCGAGUGGUCGGGACGAUUAUUGGGCCUAAAGCAUCCGUAGCCGGUUUUACAAGUCCCCCGUUAAAUCCAGCUGCUUAACAGAUGGGCUGCGGAAGAUACUAUAGGGCUAGGAGGCGGGAGAGGCAAGCGGUACUCAGUGGGUAGGGGUAAAAUCCUCUGAUCCAUUGAAGACCACCAGUGGCGAAGGCGGCUUGCCAGAACGCGCUCGACGGUGAGGGAUGAAAGCUGGGGGAGCAAACCGG